ACGAACGCUGGCGGCGUGCUUAACACAUGCAAGUCGAACGCGCCUGUCCUCUGGGUUUCUGGGGGGUGGGUGAGUGGCGAACGGGUGAGUAACACGUGAGUAACCUGCCCCCUUCUUCGGGAUAACGGUCUGAAAGGGCUGCUAAUACCGGGUAUUCACUGGUCUCCGCAUGGGGUCUGGUGGAAAGGUUUUUUUCUGGUGGGGGAUGGGCUCGCGGCCUAUCAGCUUGUUGGUGGGGUGAUGGCCCACCAAGGCUUUGACGGGUAGCCGGCCUGAGAGGGUGACCGGUCACAUUGGGACUGGGAUACGGCCCAGACUCCUACGGGAGGCAGCAGUGGGGAAUAUUGCACAAUGGGCGCAAGCCUGAUGCAGCGACGCCGCGUGAGGGAUGGAGGCCUUCGGGUUGUGAACCUCUUUCGCCCGUGGUCAAGCCGCGACGUGGGUCGUGGUGAGGGUAGUGGGUAAAGAAGCGCCGGCUAACUACGUG
Molecule: ribosomal RNA, 487 nt
Filed under: uncultured bacterium
Lineage: Bacteria
Description: partial 16S ribosomal RNA
Rfam family: Bacterial small subunit ribosomal RNA
Source: RNAcentral